CCAGGUGACUGAGCCCCAGGUGACUGAGCCCCAGGGGACUGAGCCCCAGGUGACUGAGCCCCAGGGGACUGAGCCCCAGGUGACUGAGCCCCAGGUGACUGAGCCCCAGGUGACUGAGCCCUAGGUGACUGAGCCCCAGGGGACUGAGCCCCAGGUGACUGAGCCCCAGCUGAGGGAAGAAGUGCAACUGCCAACACCAGAGUCCAAAGGGAUACAUUCUACUAACAAGUAUAUCACAUAAGCAUAUUAUACAGAUAAAACAUCUUAAUUAUCUAUGUUACCCAACUCAUUAUGAUUCAUCCGCCACAGAAGUUUACAUACACUCAAUUAGUAUUUGGUCGCAUUGCCUUUAAAUUGUUUAACUUGAGUCAAACGUUUCAGGUAGCCUUCCACAAGCUUCCCACAAUACGUUGGGUGAAUUUUGGCCCAUUCCUCCUGACAGAGCUGGUGUAACUGAGUCAGGUUUAUAGGCCUCCUUGCUUGCACAUGCUUUUUCAGUUCUGCCCACAAAUUGAGGUCAGGGCUUUGUGAUGGCCACUCCAAUACCUUGACUUUGUUGUCCUUAAGCCAUUUUGCCACAACUUUGGAAGUAUGUUUGGGGUCAUUGUCCAUUUGGAAGACCCAUUUGCGACCAAGCUUUAACUUCCUGACUGAUGUCUUGAGAUGUUGCUUCAAUAUAUCCACAUAAUUUUGCUACCUCAUGAUGCCAUCUAUUUUGUGAAGUGCACCAGUCCCUCCUGCAGCAAAGUACCCCCCACAACAUGAUGCUGCCACCCCCCUGCUUCACGGUUGGGAUGGUGUUCUUCAGCUUGCAAACCUCACCCUUUUUUCUCCAAACAUAACGACAUUAUGGCCAAACAGUUCUAUUUUUGUUUCAUCAGACUAGAAGACACUGCUCCAAAAAGUAAGAUCUUUGUCCCCAUGUGCAGUUGCAAACCGUAGUCUGGCUUUUUUAUGGCGGAAUUGAAGCAGUGGCUUCUUCCUUGCUGAGUGUCCUUUCAGGUUAUGUCGAUAUAGGACUCGUUUUACUGUGGAUAUAGAUACUUUUGUACCCGUUUCCUCCAGCAUCUUCACAAGGUCCUUUGCUGUUGUUCUGGGAUUGAUUUGCACUUUUCGCACCAAAGUACGUUCUUCUCUAAGAGACAGAACGCGUCUCCUUUCUGAGUUGUGUGACGGCUGUGUGGUCCCAUGGUGUUUAUACUUGCGUACUAUUGUUUGUACAGAUGAACAUGGUACCGUCAGGCGUUUGUAAAUUGCUCCCAAGGAUGAACCAGACUUGUGGAGGUAUACAAUUUAUUUUCUGAGGUCUUGGCUGAUUUAUUUAGAUUUUCCUUUGAUGUCAAGCACAGAGGCACUGAGUUUGAAGGUAGGCCUUGAAAUACAUCCACAGGUACACCUUCAAUAGACUAAAAUUAUGUCCAUUAGCCUAUCAGAAGCUUCUAAAGCCAUGACAUCAUUUUCUGGAAUUUUCCAAGCUGUUUAAAGGCACAGUCAACUUAGUGUAUGUAAACUUCUGACCGACUGGAAUUGUGAUACAGUGAAAUAAUCUGUCUGUAAACAACUGUUGGAAAAAUGACUUAUGUCAUGCACAAAGUAGAUGUCCUAACCGACUUGCCAAAACUAUAGUUCAAGGUCAAGGUCCUAAAUGAUAUCUUAACCGCCAUCGAUAAGAAACAUUACUGUGCAGCCGUAUUCAUUGAUCUGGCCAAGGCUUUUGACUCUGUCAAUCACCACAUCCUCAUCGGCAGACUCGACAGCCUUGGUUUCUCAAAUGAUUGCCUCGCCUGGUUCACCAACUACUUCUCUGAUAGAGUUCAGUGUGUCAAAUCGGAGGGUCUGCUGUCCGGACCUCUGGUAGUCUCUAUGGGGGUGCCACAGGGUUAAAUUCUUGGACCGACUCUCUUCUCUGUAUACAUCAAUGAGGUCGCUCUUGCUGCUGGUGAUUCUCUGAUCCACCUCUACGCAGACGACACCAUUCUGUAUACAUCUGGCCCUUCUUUGGACACUGUGUUAACAACCCACCAGACAAGCUUCAAUGCCAUACAACUCUCCUUCCGUGGCCUCCAAUUGCUCUUAAAUACAAGUAAAACUAAAUGCAUGCUCUUCAACCGAUCGCUACCUGCACCUACCCGCCUGUCCAACAUCACUACUCUGGACGGCUCUGACUUAGAAUACGUGGACAACUACAAAUACUUAGGUGUCUGGUUAGACUGUAAACUCUCCUUCCAGACCCAUAUCAAACAUCUCCAAUCCAAAGUUAAAUCUAGAAUUGGCUUCCUAUUUCGCAACAAAGCAUCCUUCACUCAUGCUGCCAAACAUACCCUUGUAAAACUGACCAUCCUACCAAUCCUCGACUUUGGCGAUGUCAUUUACAAAAUAGCCUCCAAUACCCUACUCAAUAAAUAGGAAGCAGUCUAUCACAGUGCAAUCCGAUUUGUCACCAAAGCCCCAUAUACUACCCACCAUUGCGACCUGUACGCUCUCGUUGGCUGGCCCUCGCUUCAUACUCGUCGCCAAACCCACUGGCUCCAUGUCAUCUACAAGACCCUGCUAGGUAAAGUCCCCCCUUAUCUCAGCUCGCUGGUCACCAUAGCAUCUCCCACCUGUAGCACACGCUCCAGCAGGUAUAUCUCUCUAGUCACCCC
Oncorhynchus tshawytscha (Chinook salmon) is the source of this 2645-nucleotide long non-coding RNA. NCBI's taxonomy places the organism in Eukaryota, Metazoa, Chordata, Actinopteri, Salmoniformes, Salmonidae. The record is from Ensembl.